GACGAACGCUGGCGGCGUGCUUAACACAUGCAAGUCGAACGGAAAGGCCCUGCUUUUGUGGGGUGCUCGAGUGGCGAACGGGUGAGUAACACGUGAGUAACCUGCCCUUGACUUUGGGAUAACUUCAGGAAACUGGGGCUAAUACCGGAUAGGAGCUCCUGCUGCAUGGUGGGGGUUGGAAAGUUUCGGCGGUUGGGGAUGGACUCGCGGCUUAUCAGCUUGUUGGUGGGGUAGUGGCUUACCAAGGCUUUGACGGGUAGCCGGCCUGAGAGGGUGACCGGCCACAUUGGGACUGAGAUACGGCCCAGACUCCUACGGGAGGCAGCAGUGGGGAAUAUUGCACAAUGGGAGGAAGCCUGAGGCAGCAACGCCGCGUGCGGGAUGACGGCCUUCGGGUUGUAAACCGCUUUCGCCUGUGACGAAGCGUGAGUGACGGUAAUGGGUAAAGAAGCACCGGCUAACUACGUG
RNAcentral lists this ribosomal RNA (468 nucleotides) under uncultured bacterium. RNAcentral's name for it is "partial 16S ribosomal RNA". It matches the Rfam family "Bacterial small subunit ribosomal RNA", at positions 28 to 507 of the family's 1533-position model. The record is from RNAcentral.